This 476-nucleotide ribosomal RNA is filed under the name uncultured bacterium. RNAcentral's name for it is "SSU rRNA". It matches the Rfam family "Bacterial small subunit ribosomal RNA", at positions 26 to 518 of the family's 1533-position model. The record is from RNAcentral.
AGAAUCAACGCUGGCGGCGUGCCUAACACAUGCAAGUCGAACGAGAAAGUGGAGCAAUCCAUGAGUAAAGUGGCGACCGGGUGAGUAACACGUGACUAACCUACCCUAGAGUGGGGAAUAACCUCGGGAAACCGGGGCUAAUACCGCAUAACAUCGCAGAGGGAAGCUCUUUGCGAUCAAAGGAGCAAUUCGCUCAAGGAGGGGGUCGCGGCUGAUUAGUUAGUUGGUGAGGUAAUGGCUCACCAAGACUUAGAUCAGUAUCCGGCCUGAGAGGGCGCACGGGACACACUGGAACUGAAACACGGUCCAGACUCCUACGGGAGGCAGCAGUGGGGAAUUUUGCGCAAUGGGGGAAACCCUGACGCAGCAACGCCGCGUGGAGGAUGAAGUCCCUUGGGAUGUAAACUCCUUUCGAUCGGGACGAUUAUGACGGUACCGGAAGAAGAAGCACCGGCUAACUCCGCGCCAGCAGCCGC